UGGGGGGCGGGGGCGGGGGCGGGGCGAGGCCGCCGCGGUCCGGACCCCAGACGUGGGCUCCGGGCUCUGCACCCAGCUCCUGCCCCGGCGCGCACACGCGCUUCCUCUCUUGAACUCCCGGUCGUCCGGAGGCGAAGGUCCCGGAGCGUUCACGAGAAUCCGGGUCCCAGCGAGUCCAGGGUCCGCUCCUCCAGCUGCGCCCCGGACGCACGAGCCGGCCAGCCUCGGGGAGAGGGCGCGGGGGCGCUGCGGGUUCUUACGGAAGAUGAGGAAGCCCGACAGCAAGAUCGUGCUGCUGGGGGACAUGAACGUGGGGAAGACGUCGCUGCUGCAGCGGUAUAUGGAGCGGCGCUUCCCGGACACGGUCAGCACGGUGGGCGGCGCCUUCUACCUGAAGCAGUGGCGCUCCUACAACAUCUCCAUCUGGGACACCGCAGGGCGGGAGCAGUUCCACGGCCUGGGCUCCAUGUACUGCCGGGGGGCGGCCGCCAUCAUCCUCACCUAUGAUGUGAAUCACCGGCAGAGCCUGGUGGAGCUGGAGGACCGGUUCCUGGGCCUGACAGACACAGCCAGCAAAGACUGCCUCUUUGCCAUCGUGGGGAACAAAGUGGACCUCACUGAGGAGGGGGCCUUGGCAGGCCAGGAGAAGGAAGAGUGCAGUCCCAAUAUGGACGCCGGGGACUGUGUCUCCCCCAGGGCGCCUAAGCAGGUGCAGCUGGAGGACGCGGUGGCCCUUUAUAAAAAGAUCCUCAAGUACAAGAUGCUGGAUGAGCAGGACGUGCCGGCCGCUGAGCAAAUGUGCUUUGAGACCAGCGCCAAGACCGGCUACAAUGUGGACCUCCUGUUUGAGACCCUGUUUGACCUGGUGGUGCCAAUGAUCUUACAGCAGAGAGCUGAGAGGCCGUCACACACAGUGGAUAUAUCCAGUCAUAAGCCACCCAAGAGGACCAGAUCUGGGUGUUGUGCUUGACUUUUGAGGGCCUCCUGGACUCAGAUUGUGCAUGUGGGAAGGGGUCUGACCAGGCAAGCUGUGAUCUGAAAGGAGCAAGGAACACCAAGGAAUUAUUUUCCAGAAUGACACAUGCAGCAGAACGCUGGAGUGGAAAUGAUGGCCGGCUAUGAAGAGGAGGUCAACAAACCACGUCAGUUCUUGGAAAGCUUGAAAUCUCUCAGUUUGGCAACUCAGCUGUUGGAGACGGCGCAGAUUUCCCCACUGGGUGUGGGUUUGAGCUCGUGACCUCGAGCAUCCGUCUUUCCUUUGUACAAAGCGGCCACUCCAGGGAGGAGAAGAGCAAGUGACGGUCCAGGGUUAAUGGCUGCGUGUGGUCUUGGAGCUCCCUUCUGCACUUUCCAGCUGUCCGUGUCCCCAUGCAGAUGAGAACCCUUUCCUCAAUGACACCUCAUAACCAGCUGCAGCCUCUCAUCUCUAAGUGUUCCUGGCCUCUGAGAAGAACCUAGUUAAUUAAAAUGGGCUUGUGCAAUGAAAUUGUGAAAUACCCCUCGGGUGCAGGGACUCUCGCAGUAUGUGGAAAUGACCCCACCGUUUGAGCUUCUGGACAUCGCAGGUCCUGGACACGUAUGAGUGCUUACAUGCCUGCAGCUUUAGGCACAUUCACGUGUAGUGACUGAUUUCGUUCUCCUGAUGUCACUCUGAUGCACAGGUCUAGGGUGAAACAUUCCUCUUAUGUUUAACACUGGGCACUGACGCUGAAGUGUGAUCCACACACAAGGUCCCACUCAGGCUUCCUGAUCUCGCCUUCCCACAUAGCCCUGCUGUGUAGAGGUCCUGGCCUCAGCCAGCUUCUGGAGGAACACGAGCCAGGGCAGCUGCUUAUCUAUGUCAAAUAACAUUAUAAGUUUAAAGUUCUACUUUCUGUUGCAUCAACAUGUUUAGCCUUUAUGGAAGUGCAUGGCAGGCCUCCUGGAUCCCAGAGUUGGUGUAUAAGGGCCAUUUGGCUUGGCCGAGCAGGCUUUGAGUGACUACACUGGCAUUUCGGAACAGCUCUGUUCUUCUAUGAGUUCUCAGACAUACUGGGCCAAGUUGGAUCAUCAGGGAGUGGCGUCUUCAUGGAAUAGCAUUUUGGACAAAGCCAGAGACAUUCAAUAUCACGGCCAAGGUCAAAUGGUGAAAAUAUGUUGCAUGUGAGACGCAGAACAAGAACCCAACAGGUGCUCAUCGCCAUCAUGGCAGGAAACAGCAAGACAACUUGACGAGGAUCUCCCGCCACUUGCCCACUGGAACUGGAAUGGAGUGUUAAGGACACAGGAGUGCAUGAAUUUACAUGUAAUAUACACACAUACAAAUUCGCCUGUAGACAGCAAUAUUUGGUUAUAGGAAAUGUCUAUAAACAGCACAUUCUAAAAGCAGCUUUAGGAUUAUGGGUGCUUUUUUUCCUCUUAAAUGUGUUAAUUUUUAAAAUGUGUUUAAAUGUGUUAAUUUUUUUUCUCCACUGAACAUAAUUUGUAUAAAUUGAAAAGAAAACAAGGUAAUCUUUUGAAAAAAAAAGACAUAAUAAUAAAAUGAUUCCCCACUUAGUGCCUGAUGUCCUUCAAAUGUUAUUUUAUUAGUCCUAUAAUAGAUUUCAAAAUUAAAUGAAAAGACAAGGACAUUAAGAUUUAGGAUGAAAAUAGCUGAAUUUAAAAUAAGUUUCAAGAAGCUGCCAAGCCUUCCUGCACUAUGCUAUCUCAGCUUCUUGGGGAGGACAGGGUUAAAGGGAGGCCUUCUGUGGGAAAGCCUGAUGAUCCUUUUGAGGAAUAAAUCAACAUCCAGUUGCUGUUAUUAUAUCCUGGAAGGGCUCAGGAUGGAAACCUUAUUCUGCCAUUGGCUUUUGGAAAUAAUGAGGCUUUAUAUCCCCUUCAGGGAAAAAAUGUGCUACAAUAGUUUAUAAAAUAAGCCAGAAAAUGCUAUGAAAGGUGUCAGUUUCUUUUUCCUGCAGAAGAAGAAGCCCUUGGUUCGCCAUUGCUAUGGACUGAUUGUGUCAUUCUCCCCAACUCCAAAGUUCAUAAGUGGAAGCCCUAACUCCGGUGUGAUGGCAUUUGGAGGGGGGCCUUUGGGAGGUAAUUAGGGUUAGGCCAGGUCAUGAGGGCGGGGCCCCAAGAUGGGGUUACUGCCCUUAUAAGAAGUGACAGGGAAGAGCAGGUGCUCUCCCUCGUGAGGACACAGCGAGCAGCCAGGACGCGGCCCUCCUGGAACCCGACCACACUGGCAUGCUGAUCCCAGCCUCCAGCCUCCAGCCUCCAGAACUGGGAGGAAACGCAUUUUGGUUGUUUUUGGCUCCCAGCCUGUGGGUGCCCACAGACUCAGUGCUAUCACUGUCUCCAGCGUCAGAACUGCCCAGGGGCAGGUGGAGA
RNA transcript from Symphalangus syndactylus (siamang), 3351 nucleotides. It is a transcript of the gene named RAB20, member RAS oncogene family, with no coding region annotated. The record is from RefSeq and is a predicted model, not a curated record. Lineage: Eukaryota; Metazoa; Chordata; Mammalia; Primates; Hylobatidae.